CCUACGGGAGGCUGCAGUGAGGAAUAUUGGUCAAUGGACGAGAGUCUGAACCAGCCAAGUAGCGUGAAGGAUGACUGCCCUAUGGGUUGUAAACUUCUUUUAUAUGGGAAUAAAAUGUUCCACGUGUGGGAUUUUGUAUGUACCAUAUGAAUAAGGAUCGGCUAACUCCGUGCCAGCAGCCGCGGUAAUACGGAGGAUCCGAGCGUUAUCCGGAUUUAUUGGGUUUAAAGGGAGCGUAGGUGGAUUGUUAAGUCAGUUGUGAAAGUUUGCGGCUCAACCGUAAAAUUGCAGUUGAAACUGGCAGUCUUGAGUACAGUAGAGGUGAGCGGAAUUCGUGGGGUAGCGGUGAAAUGCUUAGAUAGAACGAAGAACUCCGAUUGCGAAGGCAGUUCACUGGACUGCAACUUACACUGAGGCUCGAAAGUGUGGGUAUCAAACAGGAUUAGAUACCCUUGUAGUC
RNAcentral lists this ribosomal RNA (460 nucleotides) under uncultured bacterium. Its description in RNAcentral is "partial 16S ribosomal RNA". It matches the Rfam family "Bacterial small subunit ribosomal RNA", at positions 338 to 795 of the family's 1533-position model. The record is from RNAcentral.